This 253-nucleotide ribosomal RNA is filed under the name uncultured bacterium. RNAcentral's name for it is "partial 16S ribosomal RNA". It matches the Rfam family "Bacterial small subunit ribosomal RNA", at positions 524 to 776 of the family's 1533-position model. The record is from RNAcentral.
UACAGAGACUGCAAGCGUUAUUCGGAUUCACUGGGCGUAAAGGGCGCGUAGGCGGCCACGCACGUCCGUUGUGAAAUCGCCCGGCUCAACUGGGCGGGGUCAGCGGAUACGGUGUGGCUAGAGCAAGCUAGGGGGCAAUGGAAUUCCCGGUGUAGUGGUGGAAUGCGUAGAUAUCGGGAGGAACACCAGUGGCGAAGGCGGUUGCCUGGAGCUUUGCUGACGCUGAUGCGCGAAAGCGUGGGGAGCGAUCCGG